Molecule: ribosomal RNA, 429 nt
Filed under: Bacteroidota bacterium
Lineage: Bacteria; Pseudomonadati; Bacteroidota
Description: Bacteroidetes bacterium partial 16S ribosomal RNA
Rfam family: Bacterial small subunit ribosomal RNA
Source: RNAcentral
UAGGGAAUCUUCGGCAAUGGGGGGAACCCUGACCGAGCAACGCCGCGUGAGUGAAGAAGGUUUUCGGAUCGUAAAGCUCUGUUGUUAAGGAAGAACGAGUGUGAGAAUGGAAAGUUCAUACUGUGACGGUACUUAACCAGAAAGGGACGGCUAACUACGUGCCAGCAGCCGCGGUAAUACGUAGGUCCCGAGCGUUGUCCGGAUUUAUUGGGCGUAAAGCGAGCGCAGGCGGUUAGAUAAGUCUGAAGUUAAAGGCAGUGGCUCAACCAUUGUAGGCUUUGGAAACUGUUUAACUUGAGUGCAGAAGGGGAGAGUGGAAUUCCAUGUGUAACGGUGAAAUGCGUAGAUAUAUGGGGGAACACCGGUGGCGAAAGCGGCUCUCUGGUCAGUAACUGACGCUGAGGCUCGAAAGCGUGGGGAGCGAACAGG